GACAGAGGGUGCAAACGUUGUUCGGAAUUACUGGGCGUAAAGGGUGCGUAGGCGGUUUGAUAAGUCUGAUGUGAAAUCCCCGGGCUCAACCUGGGAACGGCAUUGGAGACUGUCAAGCUAGAGUGCGUCAGAGGGGGGUAGAAUUCCACGUGUAGCAGUGAAAUGCGUAGAGAUGUGGAGGAAUACCGAUGGCGAAGGCAGCCCCCUGGGAUGACACUGACGCUGAAGCACGAAAGCGUGGGGAGCAAACAGG
Molecule: ribosomal RNA, 253 nt
Filed under: uncultured bacterium
Lineage: Bacteria
Description: partial 16S ribosomal RNA
Rfam family: Bacterial small subunit ribosomal RNA
Source: RNAcentral